CAGGGCCAGGGAAAAAAGAGGAAAAGCCAUCAGCAAUACCAAGGGAAACCGUAAGCUAAGGUUGGCAUAGUUCUCAGCAAGCCUCACAGUGAUUCUCUCUUCCCUCCCUCACCCCU
Molecule: long non-coding RNA, 116 nt
Filed under: Piliocolobus tephrosceles (Ugandan red Colobus)
Lineage: Eukaryota; Metazoa; Chordata; Mammalia; Primates; Cercopithecidae
Description: lncRNA (ENSPTEG00000024244.1)
Source: RNAcentral